GGAAAUACUGUUUCUCUCCUUCGCGUUGCCUCCCCCAGUUCUCUGCAAAUCCGGAUCUCACUCACCCAUGCGCACCAACCCACGACUUCAGCAGUUGUGUUUCAUCUCCUUUUACACUCAAGAUUUUUUUUCGGCUUCUUGAACAGAGUGGUGGUGUUACUAUUAGAGUUCCGGCUCAAGUUGUUGAUAAUACGAAGAAGUCAG
This is a long non-coding RNA of Juglans microcarpa x Juglans regia, 204 nucleotides long. RefSeq lists it as uncharacterized. NCBI's taxonomy places the organism in Eukaryota, Viridiplantae, Streptophyta, Magnoliopsida, Fagales, Juglandaceae. The record is from RefSeq and is a predicted model, not a curated record. The transcript is spliced from 3 exons.